Molecule: ribosomal RNA, 659 nt
Filed under: uncultured eukaryote
Lineage: Eukaryota
Description: bacterial SSU rRNA
Rfam family: Eukaryotic small subunit ribosomal RNA
Source: RNAcentral
UACCUUACUACUUGGGAUAACCGUAGUAAUUCUAGAGCUAAUACAUGCAUCAAGUCCCGACUGCCUGCGCGGAAGGGAAGUCUUUAUUAGAUCGAAACCAUUGCAGGGGCAACUCUGGUAUUGUGGUGAUUCAUAAUAACUGUGCGAAUCGCAUGGCCUCGUGCCGGCAAUAAAUCAUUCAAGUUUCUGCCCUAUCAGCUUUCGAUGGUAGGGUAUUGGCCUACCAUGGCGUUAACAGGUAACGGAGAAUUAGGGUUCGAUUCCGGAGAGGGAGCCUGAGAAACGGCUACCACAUCCAAGGAAGGCAGCAGGCGCGCAAGUUACCCAAUCCUGACACAAUGAGGUAGUGACAAUAAAUAACAAUGCCGGGCUUUUUUUAAGUCUGGCAAUUGGAAUGAGAACAAUUUAAUUCCCUUAAUGAGGAUCAAUUGGAGGGCAAAUCUGGUGCCAGCAGCCGCGGUAAUUCCAGCUCCAAUAGCGUAUAUUAAAGUUGUUGCAGUUAAAAAGCUCGUAGUUGGAUUUUUAGUGGGAGUGAUCGGUCCGCCCCGUUAGGGGUGUGCACUAGUGUCGUCUCUUGCCAUCUAUGGGGAGAGCUAAUCUGGCAUUAGGUUGUCGGGUCAGGGAUCCCCAUCCUUUACUGUGAAAAAACAUUAUAGUGU